This is a long non-coding RNA of Mytilus trossulus (common blue mussel), 1280 nucleotides long. RefSeq lists it as uncharacterized. The record is from RefSeq and is a predicted model, not a curated record. NCBI's taxonomy places the organism in Eukaryota, Metazoa, Mollusca, Bivalvia, Mytilida, Mytilidae. The transcript is spliced from 3 exons.
UUUUAUGAUCUAUAUAUUAGUCGCGCAGGUUUUAUUUGACCUUGACCUUAUUUUCACGGUUCAUUGCUCAGUGUUAAGUUUUUGUGUUUUGGUCUAUUUUUCUUAAGCUAUAAGUAUUAGGUCAACUAUAUUUGUUUUAUGGAAGCAUUGUUAGCUGUACAUGUCAGCCUGGCAUGGUUCAUCUGACCUUGACCUCAUUUUCAUGGUUCAUUGGUCUUUGUUUAGUUAUCUUGGUUAAUGUAAUUUUUAUGUACAGUUGUAAUAAAGCUUUAUACUGAGGACUAUCAAAAUAAUAUCAAUGAUUAGUAAAGAAGGCGAGACAUUUCAGUGUGUGCACUCUUGUUCAUUCAAAAUACUGUAACAUUAAACAAGACACAAAAAAGCCGAAAGAAUAAUUAUAAAAUUAUAUUCCUAAAAAUAUAGAUUGGUUGAACAAUAUCAUUGAACUUGUGCUAAAUUAAAAAAAAAUGUGAAAUAUAUGUCAAUGCCAGAGACAGUAACCAAUCAAUGAAACAUGUCAAUGAGACAGUAACCAAUCAAUGAAACAUGUCAUUGAGGCAGUAACCAAUCAAUGAAACAUGUUAAAAUGAUUCCAUACGUCGAUGAGACAGUAACCAAUCAAUGAAACAUGUCAAAAUGGUCCCAUUUGUCAUUGAGACAGUAACCAAUCAAUGAAACAUGUUAAAAUGGUUCCAUAUGUCGAUGAGACAGUAACCAAUCAGUGAAACAUGUCAAAAUGGUCCCAUAUGUCAAUGAGACAGUAACCAAUCAAAGAAACAUGUCAAAAUGGUCCCAUAUGUCAAUGAGACAGCAACCAAUCAAUGAAUCAUGUCAAAAUGGUCCUAUAUGUCAAAAAAACAGUAACCAAUCAAAGAAACACGUCAAAAUGGUCUUCAACAACAGACAAUAUAACAUGUUAUAUAAAUUUUCAUAUGAAGGAAAGACAAAUUUAAAAUAUUUAUUUCAAUCUGAAAAUAGAAACAUUUAUGUUUUCAGUUAGAACAUCUCUUAUUGAUAUAUAUUUGACAUUUGAUCCAUGAACAGUGUUAAUCAACAGAUAGUUUUUACAUUCAAAAUGCCAGAACACCAAUAGUAAACAAGAGAGGAAUGAAAAUCCAAUACCAGAACACCAAUAGUAAACAAGAGAGGAAUGAAAUAAUUGUACAUUUUACCUUUAUUGUCUGCGGAGGUGCAAUUGAUUGUCUUGUGUUUGAUGGAAAAAAUCACACCCUGUUUGUAGAAUACCUCAUUUAGGUUAUAAUGGAAAAUUGGAAUGAGGU